RNAcentral lists this ribosomal RNA (301 nucleotides) under uncultured bacterium. RNAcentral's name for it is "partial 16S ribosomal RNA". It matches the Rfam family "Bacterial small subunit ribosomal RNA", at positions 509 to 807 of the family's 1533-position model. The record is from RNAcentral.
CAGUCGCCGCGGGAAUACGAAGGGGGCUAGCGUUGCUCGGAAUGACUGGGCGUAAAGGGCGCGUAGGCGGUUCGUACAGUUGGAUGUGAAAUUCCUGGGCUCAACCCGGGGGCUGCAUUCAAUACGUGCGGGCUUGAGUGUGGAAGAGGGUUGUGGAAUUCCCAGUGUAGAGGUGAAAUUCGUAGAUAUUGGGAAGAACACCGGUGGCGAAGGCGGCAACCUGGUCCAUAACUGACGCUGAGGCGCGAAAGCGUGGGGAGCAAACAGGAUUAGAUACCCGCGUAGUCCCUGUCUCUUAUAC